Molecule: long non-coding RNA, 563 nt
Organism: Bactrocera neohumeralis
Lineage: Eukaryota; Metazoa; Arthropoda; Insecta; Diptera; Tephritidae
Exons: 3
Source: RefSeq, a predicted model, not a curated record
CCCCCCACCAGUGGUAAGGGAUAAAAGUAAACUUAAACAGAAAGAUUUUUAGAUAGAAUAAUAUUUCGAUUGCUCAUCAGAAUCAAAUCAAUAGGAAAAGAAAGAGUAUUUGUAUUUGUGUUUGGUGAAGAGGUUGAUUGGUUCAUCGAGCAUCUUUAUUAAUCGUUGAUUGAAUCAUUCAGAGAUGAAUCAACCAAAUGAAUACGCUGCAACGAAUGCUACCCUGAAUCGUAAUAUAUUGGAAUUGAUCGGUCAAUUUUGGGAGGAAUUCAGGAACAUGAAUGGUCGAAUUAUCGAUAUAGGCUGCGGUCCUGGAAAUACCACAAGAGAUAUACUUGUCCCAUGUGUCGGCAGGGAGGCUGUUAUUGUUGGUGCUGAUAUAUCCCCAGAAAUGAUUGAGUAAGCAAAAGAGCAUUAUGCAGUUGAUGAUAAACUAUCAUUCAUUGAGUUAGAUAUGCAAACGUCUGAGCUACCAAAAAACUUGAUCGAACAAUUUGAUCAUGCAGUUUCGUUCUAUGCUCUCCACUGGUGUAAGAAUACACAGAAAGCAUUACAGAACAUCU